This 468-nucleotide ribosomal RNA is filed under the name uncultured bacterium. RNAcentral describes it as "partial 16S ribosomal RNA". It matches the Rfam family "Bacterial small subunit ribosomal RNA", at positions 28 to 507 of the family's 1533-position model. The record is from RNAcentral.
GACGAACGCUGGCGGCGUGCUUAACACAUGCAAGUCGAACGGAAAGGCCCUGCUUUUGUGGGGUGCUUGAGUGGCGAACGGGUGAGUAACACGUGAGUAACCUGCCCUUGACUUUGGGAUAACUUCAGGAAACUGGGGCUAAUACCGGAUAGGAGCUCCUGCUGCAUGGUGGGGGUUGGAAAGUUUCGGCGGUUGGGGAUGGACUCGCGGCUUAUCAGCUUGUUGGUGGGGUAGCGGCUUACCAAGGCUUUGACGGGUAGCCGGCCUGAGAGGGUGACCGGCCACAUUGGGACUGAGAUACGGCCCAGACUCCUACGGGAGGCAGCAGUGGGGAAUAUUGCACAAUGGGCGGAAGCCUGAUGCAGCAACGCCGCGUGCGGGAUGACGGCCUUCGGGUUGUAAACCGCUUUCGCCUGUGACGAAGCGUGAGUGACGGUAAUGGGUAAAGAAGCACCGGCUAACUACGUG